UGCAGCAGCUAAAAGAAAAUGAGUCAUCCCCUGAAAUGAAAAAGUUUGGAGCAAAUAUUAAGAAACAAGAUUUUAAAAAGCGGCAGAACAGAUCUGUGACAUUGAGCAAAGAUGCAAUACAACCAUCUUCGGAGGAAAAGGGUACAAUUACAGAAAUUCAUAUAAAAAAACACGUACAAAUCGAAUGCUCUAUUCGAUCCAUAUGGCAAGGUACCAGUAAAGAAAAAAAUUGAAGCAUUUGUACAGGCAGACACGAACACUUCAAAACUUGCUCAACCAGAAUAACUAGAACAAAAACACGAGAACAAAACACUAGAGCUGCUUCACAAACAGAAGCUUCGGAAAACGCAAGCAUUGGAGAGAUAGCGAUUGCUCAUAAAUUAGCACAAAAAUCACAUUUAGCAAAAUAAAUGCAAGAGAAACAGCGCCAAAAAUGAAGAAGAAACGUCUAGCUCGAUUACAACGAUCUCAGGAAAAGGAAAAAAGAAGAAAAGAAGAAGAGCAACAGCGUUUACAACGUUUACAAGAACAAGAAAAGGCAGAACGAAUACUAAACUGAACAAAAAUGUCGAGAACAAGAAGCUGAAAGACGAAAAGAAGAAGCUAAACGACAAGCUGAAGCUGAAGUAAGGAAAAACAUCAGAUGCUUACAUCACAGAGGAACACCUCUAGCAAAUCUAUAACCACAAGCUAUUCCCUGGAAUCACCCUUAUCUACAACGACGCCGGUACUUUGUCAAACGUCAAAUCAAGUCACGAUCCCAGUCACGACGCAGAAUGCUGCUUCUACACCAAGAGUCAUGAACAAGAGAACGCGAUUCGGGCAGAUCAUCGGGGAGAGCUCAGUCUCCUAAUCAACUACAAAACUCCGCGUCGUGUUUGACGAACCUACACCAAGCAACACCGGAGUUCCUUUCAACGAUACCUCCUGGGUCGACCUGUUCUACGAUACUUCGUGGGCAGUGGUGUUACACGACUCUUCCUCAGCCGACGUGUCCCAUAACACCUUCCGGGCCGACAUGUUCCAUGAUACUUCAUGGAGAGAGAUGUUCCAUGACACUUCCUGGGCCGAGAUGUUCCACGACACCUCCUGAGACGAGGUGUUCAACAAUACUUCCUGGACCGAGGUAGUCACCGACAUUUCCAGAGUUGAUGCGUUCCACGACACGUCCUGGGUCGUGAACUCCAGUAUGAAAUUUAUUGGCCACGAUAAGGUCGGCGAUUAACCGCACUACGAGGUAGACGACAAGCCCUCAACACAACGGCCCUUCAGCCGUAUCAUCAGAUUCGCUCUGGCGGCGACUGCAUCAUCUGAAAUAUAUGUCGAUGUCCAUCGGGGCCUUUCUUUUGGAAUUUUUGGGAAGAUCCCCAAUACUUUAGUCUAGACUAUUUAUUAUAGGUGUACUUAAACAAUAAAACUUAGAAGUAGUUGUUAUGAUUCAAUCCGAUUAUGUUAGGUCCUAGAUUUGUGACAGUGGGCUUGGGCUCGAGGUGACACAACUGGUCGCUGAACGUAGCUGCGGUCAGGGAUGAACGUUUUUACCUAACAGAGAAGUGCCAAUAUUGUGGGACACAAGUUGUAUUAACAAUCAAACCCCGGGCAGGAGCAAUGUCAGCUCUACACGGGUCUGCCUACCAACUGCGGCUGGAAUUUUGUUGGU
Bombus pyrosoma is the source of this 1660-nucleotide long non-coding RNA. RefSeq lists it as uncharacterized. NCBI's taxonomy places the organism in Eukaryota, Metazoa, Arthropoda, Insecta, Hymenoptera, Apidae. The record is from RefSeq and is a predicted model, not a curated record. The transcript has 3 exons.